CCUACGGGAGGCAGCAGUGGGGAAUAUUGCACAAUGGGGGAAACCCUGAUGCAGCGACGCCGCGUGAAGGAAGAACUAUUUCGGUAUGUAAACUUCUAUCAGCAGGGAAGAAAAUGACGGUACCUGACUAAGAAGCCCCGGCUAACUAUGUGCCAGCAGCCGCGGUAAU
This 169-nucleotide ribosomal RNA is filed under the name uncultured bacterium. RNAcentral describes it as "partial 16S ribosomal RNA". It matches the Rfam family "Bacterial small subunit ribosomal RNA", at positions 338 to 524 of the family's 1533-position model. The record is from RNAcentral.